UACGUAGGGGGCUAGCGUUGUCCGGAAUCAUUGGGCGUAAAGCGCGUGUAGGCGGCCCGGUAAGUCCGCUGUGAAAGUCGGGGGCUCAACCCUGGGAUGCCGGUGGAUACUGUCGGGCUCGAGUCCGGAAGAGGAGUGUGGAAUUCCUGGUGUGAGCGGUGAAAUGCGCAGAUAUCAGGAGGAACACCAGUGGCGAAGGCGGCUCACUGGUCCGGUACUGACGCUGAGGUGCGAAAGCGUGGGGAGCAAACAGG
RNAcentral lists this ribosomal RNA (254 nucleotides) under uncultured bacterium. RNAcentral describes it as "partial 16S ribosomal RNA". It matches the Rfam family "Bacterial small subunit ribosomal RNA", at positions 524 to 776 of the family's 1533-position model. The record is from RNAcentral.